Molecule: transfer-messenger RNA, 363 nt
Filed under: Rhizobium esperanzae
Lineage: Bacteria; Pseudomonadati; Pseudomonadota; Alphaproteobacteria; Hyphomicrobiales; Rhizobiaceae
Rfam family: Alphaproteobacteria transfer-messenger RNA
About the family: Bacterial tmRNA, also known as 10Sa RNA or SsrA, is named for its dual tRNA and mRNA-like properties. Its role is to liberate the mRNA from a stalled ribosome. To accomplish this part of the tmRNA is used as a reading frame that ends in a translation stop signal.
Source: RNAcentral
GCCCUUUCCUUGGGCGGAGGAAACCACUAUAUCAGCCUUGCCGGCUUUCGGGCCGGCUAUGGCGAUAAAUGAGCGGUGUAAUAAGCCUAUUGGACCCGGGGGCGGUACCCGGCGCCUCCACCAAAAACCGGCGGCCUUGAAGGCCGGCUUUUGAUGGGGGCGAAACAGGAUCGACAAGGGUGUAAAGAUCGUCUUUUUGCUCGGCAUUGUACCGCCGUUAUCGGGCUAAAAUUGUAGUUGCAAACGACAACUAUGCGGAAGCUCGUCUCGCUGCUUAAUCGCAGUGUGACACUUCAAAUCAAGCCCUAGUGGUUCGCACCUCUAGGCGGGGUCCGAAGGCACCUGGCAACAGAAGCCUUCACC